This 468-nucleotide ribosomal RNA is filed under the name uncultured bacterium. RNAcentral's name for it is "partial 16S ribosomal RNA". It matches the Rfam family "Bacterial small subunit ribosomal RNA", at positions 28 to 507 of the family's 1533-position model. The record is from RNAcentral.
GACGAACGCUGGCGGCGUGCUUAACACAUGCAAGUCGAACGGAAAGGCCCUGCUUUUGUGGGGUGCUCGAGUGGCGAACGGGUGAGUAACACGUGAGUAACCUGCCCUUGACUUUGGGAUAACUUCAGGAAACUGGGGCUAAUACCGGAUAGGAGCUCCUGCUGCAUGGUGGGGGUUGGAAAGUUUCGGCGGUUGGGGAUGGACUCGCGGCUUAUCAGCUUGUUGGUGGGGUAGUGGCUUACCAAGGCUUUGACGGGUAGCCGGCCUGAGAGGGUGACCGGCCACAUUGGGACUGAGAUACGGCCCAGACUCCUACGGGAGGCAGCAGUGGGGAAUAUUGCACGAUGGGCGGAAGCCUGAUGCGGCAACGCCGCGUGCGGGAUGACGGCCUUCGGGUUGUAAACCGCUUUCGCCUGUGACGAAGCGUGAGUGACGGUAAUGGGUAAAGAAGCACCGGCUAACUACGUG